Molecule: long non-coding RNA, 503 nt
Filed under: Musa acuminata (dwarf banana)
Lineage: Eukaryota; Viridiplantae; Streptophyta; Magnoliopsida; Zingiberales; Musaceae
Description: long non-coding RNA (MACU_LNC010256)
Source: RNAcentral
CACCUUGUUGAAAUUUACUAAGGCUUCCCAGUAAAUCCUUUUAGAAAUCAUUAGGUACUUCUUGUAACCGGUUCUCAAUUCUAAUUUCCAAUGCUUCCAUUUGUGCUUUCACUGAGUUAUCGGUGGCCAUUGCGUAAGACUGCAAAUCUGUAAUCUCAACUCCUGUUUUUGGUGUCGGACAAGGGCAUCAACACUGUAGAUGCGAAGUUACCGAGGAGGUGGACGCCAAGGGCAGUGCUGCGGUCGCUGUGUUGGAGGAAGAGUAGCUGCCCUAUUUCUAUCGAGGCGUGGGGUGAGAGCGCCGAGGUUGGAAGGCGACUGCGUUGAUGUGGCUGCAGCUGGGGGCAGCGUCACCAAGGGCCUAUCGCUGCGGUGGUUGCGACGGUGCGGAUGGAAGGCAGCGUUGCUCUGUCUCUACCGCACUACGAAGGAGUUGGUGACGUCGAUGGAUCGCGUGCGGUUGAGGACACAACGGUGUCGUUGAAGCGACCGAAACAGAGCUU